AGUGAACGCUGGCGGUAGGCCUAACACAUGCAAGUCGAACGGCAGCACAGUAAGAGCUUGCUCUUACGGGUGGCGAGUGGCGGACGGGUGAGGAAUACAUCGGAAUCUACUUUUUCGUGGGGGAUAACGUAGGGAAACUUACGCUAAUACCGCAUACGACCUACGGGUGAAAGCAGGGGAUCUUCGGACCUUGCGCGAUUGAAUGAGCCGAUGUCGGAUUAGCUAGUUGGCGGGGUAAAGGCCCACCAAGGCGACGAUCCGUAGCUGGUCUGAGAGGAUGAUCAGCCACACUGGAACUGAGACACGGUCCAGACUCCUACGGGAGGCAGCCGUGGGGAAUAUUGGACAAUGGGCGCAAGCCUGAUCCAGCCAUACCGCGUGGGUGAAGAAGGCCUUCGGGUUGUAAAGCCCUUUUGUUGGGAAAGAAAAGCAGCAGGUUAAUACCCCGCUGUUCUGACGGUACCCAAAGAAUAAGCACCGGCUAACUUCGUG
This 492-nucleotide ribosomal RNA is filed under the name uncultured bacterium. Its description in RNAcentral is "partial 16S ribosomal RNA". It matches the Rfam family "Bacterial small subunit ribosomal RNA", at positions 29 to 507 of the family's 1533-position model. The record is from RNAcentral.